This 490-nucleotide ribosomal RNA is filed under the name uncultured bacterium. RNAcentral describes it as "partial 16S ribosomal RNA". It matches the Rfam family "Bacterial small subunit ribosomal RNA", at positions 30 to 507 of the family's 1533-position model. The record is from RNAcentral.
AUUGAACGCUGGCGGCAGGCCUAACACAUGCAAGUCGAAUGGUAACAGGAAACAGCUUGCUGUUUCGCUGACGAGUGGCGGACGGGUGAGUAAUGUCUGGGAAACUGCCUGAUGGAGGGGGAUAACUACUGGAAACGGUAGCUAAUACCGCAUAACGUCGCAAGACCAAAGAGGGGGACCUUCGGGCCUCUUGCCAUCAGAUGUGCCCAGAUGGGAUUAGCUAGUAGGUGGGGUAACGGCUCACCUAGGCGACGAUCCCUAGCUGGUCUGAGAGGAUGACCAGCCACACUGGAACUGAGACACGGUCCAGACUCCUACGGGAGGCAGCAGUGGGGAAUAUUGCACAAUGGGCGCAAGCCUGAUGCAGCCAUGCCGCGUGUAUGAAGAAGGCCUUCGGGUUGUAAAGUACUUUCAGCGGGGAGGAAGGGAGUAAAGUUAAUACCUUUGCUCGUUGACGUUACCCGCAGAAGAAGCACCGGCUAACUCCGUG